This 421-nucleotide ribosomal RNA is filed under the name uncultured archaeon. RNAcentral's name for it is "partial 16S ribosomal RNA". It matches the Rfam family "Archaeal small subunit ribosomal RNA", at positions 323 to 746 of the family's 1478-position model. The record is from RNAcentral.
CUACGGGAGGCUGCAGCUGAGGAAAUUUUACAAUGCUCGAAAGAGUGAUAGAAUAAGCCAGAGUGUUUCUCUUAGAGGAACUUUUGUCUGCUGUAAAAAGGCAGACGAAUAAGGACUGGGCAAGACCGGGUGCCAGCCGCCGCGGUAAUACCGGCGGUCCGAGUCGCAUCCACAUUUAUUGGGUCUAAAACAUCCGUAGCUUGUUUUGUAAGUCUCUUGUGAAAUCUCGUGUCUCAAAUACGAGGCGUGCAAGAGGUACUGCAUUACUAGAGAUCGGAAGACGUAAAGAGUACGAUUAAGGUAGCGGUAAAAUGUGUUAAUCUUGAUCGGACUAACAAUGGCGAAGGCGCUUUACGAGUACGAAUCUGACAGUGAGGGAUGAAGGCUAGGGGCGCAAAAGGGAUUAGAUACCCCCGUAGUC